GAUGAACGCUGGCGGCGUGCUUAACACAUGCAAGUCGAACGGAAAGGCCACAGCUUGCUGUGGUACUCGAGUGGCGAACGGGUGAGUAACACGUGGGUGAUCUGCCCUGUACUUCGGGAUAAGCUUGGGAAACUGGGUCUAAUACCGGAUAGGAAUCACAUGUGGGUGUGUGGUUGGAAAGCUUUUGCGGUAUGGGAUGAGCUCGCGGCCUAUCAGCUUGUUGGUGGGGUAAUGGCCUACCAAGGCGUCGACGGGUAGCCGGCCUGAGAGGGUGUACGGCCACAUUGGGACUGAGAUACGGCCCAGACUCCUACGGGAGGCAGCAGUGGGGAAUAUUGCACAAUGGGCGUAAGCCUGAUGCAGCGACGCCGCGUGGGGGAUGACGGCCUUCGGGUUGUAAACUCCUUUCGUCAGGGACGAAGCGAAAGUGACGGUACCUGGAUAAGAAGCACCGGCUAACUACGUG
This 466-nucleotide ribosomal RNA is filed under the name uncultured bacterium. RNAcentral describes it as "partial 16S ribosomal RNA". It matches the Rfam family "Bacterial small subunit ribosomal RNA", at positions 28 to 507 of the family's 1533-position model. The record is from RNAcentral.